Esox lucius (northern pike) is the source of this 1929-nucleotide long non-coding RNA. The record is from Ensembl. Lineage: Eukaryota; Metazoa; Chordata; Actinopteri; Esociformes; Esocidae.
AGCCAACUAUGUGAAUAAUGACCACAGUUUGAAUAUUCAACGUAUGUUUUUAAGGUGUUGGAUCAAUGCCAUAAUCAACUUUUGUUUGUUAAUAUAAUACUAAACCUGAGAAUUUUCUUUUUUUAAAGGGCUAAGGUACAGGUCAUUGGACAUAGCAAGAACAGGAUUCCACUGGACGAGAGGCAGGGGGAGGAAUGGAGAUCAGAAGUCAAGUCUCAGAUGAUUGAGGAACACUGCAUACAUUUUUUGUUGCAAGGAUGUUGGUGGAUAGCUCUUCUCUCUCUACCUCACUUGCUCAGCCUUACACAUUUUUGCUUUUCUCUCUCUGCCUCUCGUUUCCACUCUCAGUGUAGUGCCAGCUUUUCUGUCAGAACAUUUGUGGUUGUUAUGGUGACGGUUACAAAGAGCUGACUAGAUUGUGGCCGAAAGUGGAAAGGAGAGAUGAGUGAUGGGCUGAAUCAGACAGCGGUAUAUGAAAAGAUUGAAGUGGAUAUGGAAGACAACAGGUGAACUAGCAAAAUUCUGUGGAAGGAAGGUCUUUGGAUUUGCGAUAUAGCCAUUAACAAAAGAGGAAGGCUUUGGACCUGGAGGAAUAGAGGGGAAUGUUAAAAAUAUAUUCGGGGAGUGCUCCUGGCAUUCUUAAAUUGUUGCAUCUUUUUGCUGUUACUAUGGCAACCAAGUGAAUUAUUGUUACGUAACCUACCCUGUUGUCAGGCAUCUAGAACAUUCCACUUCAUUUUGGGAAAGGGGAGGAAGGAUUUUUUUGUUGUUGUAAACUGCACUGUUGUUGUAAAACGCACUGAUCAAGAAUAGAAGUGUUCCCUUUUUACCACAGUUUUGAUAUAGUGCAUGUAUCAAAUGUAUGCUUCCAUUGAUGGUCUCAACUGAAUGCUGAAUUCCAGCAUAUUGCCACUAUUAUAGCACCUCUACCAAUUUAUUUAUAACAGAACUAUUCAAGUUUAUUUAGUUAUACUAGUUCUACAAUCUCCACUACUACUACUUAGUCUACUGCUAUACCUACUAGUGUUACUCUUUGGACAUUCCACAAAUUCGGUGCCGGCCUUUGUGAAGUAAUAUCUUGUCAUUAUAGAGCCUAUGUCCAACUUCAUAAACACAUGUUUUUAAUCCCAAUAUUUUAAAUAAAAAUUAUCUAAAGUGUCUAUUAAAUCUGGGAUCUUAAAUUUUUGACAGAACACUGGGAUGAGUCAGGACAAAAAUUUAACUGCUCUCAAAUGUAUAGACAGAGCUAUGAAAAACCAGGCAAUAUUGUAGUUUUGAACCUAUACAGUGUUUGUUUACUUUGACAUUGUUUCCAAAGAAGUAAACAAUUUGGGUUUCUGAUAGGGUACGAAAGAACUCAGGCAUUUUUUACUAUUUAUAUAAUUCAAUUACAAGUCCAAAAAGUAUUGUAACAACUAAAGAUCCCAGUUUUCCGUUCCAAAUAAAGUAACAAAGUUGUCCUUUGAAGAGCUUAGAAUAUCAUCAUAAAAAUCUGAUUAUGUGCAGAGAGGCAAGCUUCACAAAAAAGGUGUUCACAGAUGUCCGACCUGGCUACAUUUGGGGGAAAAAGGAUGAUGUGUUAUGCUUGAACCGCUUAGACCUAAACCACAAAAAGCCAGCAACUGGUCAAAAAUAGUAUAUCCAGCUCUGCUUUUGGUAGUUACAUUUAGAAUUUUUCAACUUUAACAAGUCUUUAUAUAACAAUCAGCUUCAGCAAAUUAUUAAUAAUGCAGUCUAUAUUAAUACAACAGACUUUUUUUUUUUAUUCAUCGUUUUUAAAAUAACAUGGCUAAGCAAAUGGCAUGCAUAUGUUACUAAUUAUUAUUGUGUUUUUAUAUUUUACCAUUGGUUUCAUAUUUUCAUUUCAUUGCUUUUUACUACUACCCUUUAUAUAACAUAAAUAUUUUCUACUUAUUUAUAAUCAUUAUA